Molecule: long non-coding RNA, 473 nt
Organism: Gossypium arboreum
Lineage: Eukaryota; Viridiplantae; Streptophyta; Magnoliopsida; Malvales; Malvaceae
Exons: 3
Source: RefSeq, a predicted model, not a curated record
AUGGUAAUAAGUGGUAUUAGGUGAGAAAAAGAAGAAAACAUUGGAUUGUUUUACUUCUUCUUCUUCCCAUAAACGCAAAACACCAUUGUUGAACAAUAAGAGUUUUGGCCAAGCUCCUUUUUUUGCUUGGAUCAAGAUGCGCAACAACCAGACUUGAAUCGUAGAAAGGCCAAAGCUUCAGAUUAGUCGUCGGUACCUUUUUGUGCAAUCGUGUAGUCGAGGUCAUUAGAAAGCUCGAUCAGUUGGAAUUUCGUUGGAGCACAAUCACACUAUCCAAUCAUUGUUUUGGUAGCUUUCGGUUACAUUGGUUAAGGUUAUAAAUAAAAUGUAAUAGGGCUUAAACAUUAUCUUGGCUUGUUUUGAUUAGGUGCCAGGUCUAUUUAUAUAUAUUUUUUUUGUCCUUUUUAGGAUGUUUUGUAAACAUGGUGUAGAUAUGUGAUUUUAAAUUCUUAUGCAUGACAUUUUGAAAGUGA